This 255-nucleotide unclassified non-coding RNA is filed under the name plant metagenome. RNAcentral's name for it is "partial contains small subunit ribosomal RNA, internal transcribed spacer 1, and 5.8S ribosomal RNA". The record is from RNAcentral.
UUUCCGUAGGUGAACCUGCGGAAGGAUCAUUAUUGUAUAACCGAGGUGCGAGGGCUGUCGCUGACCCGAAAGGUCGUGCACGCCCGAGUGCCCACACACACAUCCAUCUCACCCCUAUGUGCACCACCGCGUGGGUCCCCCUUUGGCUUGUUUGGAGGGGGGCUUACAUUUUCACACGAACCCCCCUUUUAAAAGUGUAGAAUGACCACAUUUAUGCAAUCAAUACAACUUUCAACAACGGAUCUCUUGGCUCUC